AGCUUUGCACAGUGGCAGUAUCAUAGCCAAAGAGGUUUGUCCGAGAUGCGAUUAUUGCUAAUUGAAGAA
This 69-nucleotide small nuclear RNA is filed under the name Fukomys damarensis (Damara mole-rat). Its description in RNAcentral is "U4 spliceosomal RNA". It matches the Rfam family "U4 spliceosomal RNA", at positions 1 to 69 of the family's 138-position model. From Rfam's summary of the family: U4 small nuclear RNA (U4 snRNA) is a component of the major U2-dependent spliceosome. The structure of U4 snRNA from yeast and human has been reported. Lineage: Eukaryota; Metazoa; Chordata; Mammalia; Rodentia; Bathyergidae. The record is from Rfam by way of RNAcentral.